RNAcentral lists this ribosomal RNA (441 nucleotides) under uncultured bacterium. RNAcentral's name for it is "partial 16S ribosomal RNA". It matches the Rfam family "Bacterial small subunit ribosomal RNA", at positions 339 to 795 of the family's 1533-position model. The record is from RNAcentral.
CUACGGGGCGCUGCAGUGGGGAAUAUUGCGCAAUGGGGGAAACCCUGACGCAGCAACGCCGCGUGAAGGAUGAAGGUUUUCGGAUUGUAAACUUCUUUGAUGAGGGACGAAACAAAUGACGGUACCUCAAAAACAAGCCACGGCUAACUACGUGCCAGCAGCCGCGGUAAUACGUAGGUGGCGAGCGUUGUCCGGAAUUACUGGGUGUAAAGGGCGGUAGGCGGGAAUGCAAGUCAGAUGUGAAAUUCUAAGGCUCAACCUUAGCGCUGCAUCUGAAACUGUGUUUCUUGAGUGAUGGAGAGGAAAGCGGUAUUCCUAGUGUAGCGGUGAAAUGCGUAGAUAUUAGGAGGAACACCAGUGGCGAAGGCGGCUUUCUGGACAUUAACUGACGCUGAGGCGCGUAAGCGUGGGGAGCAAACAGGAUUAGAUACCCGUGUAGUC